Molecule: unclassified non-coding RNA, 213 nt
Filed under: soil metagenome
Description: partial contains 5.8S ribosomal RNA, internal transcribed spacer 2, and large subunit ribosomal RNA
Source: RNAcentral
AACUGAUACUACCUGCGGGAACCUGCGGAAGGAUCAUUACAGAGUUGUAAAACUCCCAAACCCAUGUGAACAUACCUCUGUUGCCUCGGUGGCCUACCCGGUAGCUACCCUGUAGUUACCCUGUAGACUGCCGGCGGACUUUAGAAACUCUUGUUUUUAGUGUAUCUCUGAGAACAACUUCAAAUAAGUUAAAACUUUUAACAAUGGAUCUCU